Molecule: ribosomal RNA, 328 nt
Filed under: uncultured eukaryote
Lineage: Eukaryota
Description: partial 18S ribosomal RNA
Rfam family: Eukaryotic small subunit ribosomal RNA
Source: RNAcentral
CCCUUAGAUGUCCUGGGCCGCACGCGCGCUACACUGAUGCAUUCAACGAGUUUUACCUUGGCCGAGAGGCCUGGGCAAUCUUUUAAACCUGCAUCGUGAUAGGGAUAGAUUAUUGCAAUUAUUAAUCUUGAACGAGGAAUUCCUAGUAAACGCAAAUCAUCAAUUUGCAUUGAUUACGUCCCUGCCCUUUGUACACACCGCCCGUCGCUCCUACCGAUUGAAUGAUCCGAUGAAUACCAUGGAUUGAGAGUACGAAUAGGUUCGCUUAUUUCUGCUGCUCGAGAAGUGGAGUAAAUCUUAUCAUUUAGAGGAAGGAGAAGUCGUAACA